UGAUCCUCCUGCCACAGCCUCCUGAGUGGCUGGGACUGCAGAAUCUAAAACUGAACGGGGACCUUGUGAACAUUCUAGUUUUUGUCUGUUGGAAGAAGAGUUAUAUGGGGAUGUGAAAGACCAGGAGACCCAGAAUCCUGACAGACCUAUCAGAGAGGCAGAGUAGUCCUAUGACAGAGGCAGCCACAGAAGCUCAUGCCCACAUGCCUGUCCCUCUAUCUGGAG
RNAcentral lists this long non-coding RNA (225 nucleotides) under Homo sapiens (human). Its description in RNAcentral is "HSALNT0342427". The record is from RNAcentral. Lineage: Eukaryota; Metazoa; Chordata; Mammalia; Primates; Hominidae.